AGUGAACGCUGGCGGUAGACCUAACACAUGCAAGUCGAACGGCAGCACAGUAAGAGCUUGCUCUUACGGGUGGCGAGUGGCGGACGGGUGAGGAAUACAUCGGAAUCUACUUUUUCGUGGGGGAUAACGUAGGGAAACUUACGCUAAUACCGCAUACGACCUACGGGUGAAAGCAGGGGAUCUUCGGACCUUGCGCGAUUGAAUGAGCCGAUGUCGGAUUAGCUAGUUGGCGGGGUAAAGGCCCACCAAGGCGACGAUCCGUAGCUGGUCUGAGAGGAUGAUCAGCCACACUGGAAAUGGGGCAAGGUCCCAAAUCCCAAGGGAGGCAGCAGUGGGGAAUAUUGGACAAUGGGCGCAAGCCUGAUCCAGCCAUACCGCGUGGGUGAAGAAGGCCUUCGGGUUGUAAAGCCCUUUUGUUGGGAAAGAAAAGCAGCAGGUUAAUACCCCGCUGUUCUGACGGUACCCAAAGAAUAAGCACCGGCUAACUUCGUG
RNAcentral lists this ribosomal RNA (492 nucleotides) under uncultured bacterium. Its description in RNAcentral is "partial 16S ribosomal RNA". It matches the Rfam family "Bacterial small subunit ribosomal RNA", at positions 29 to 507 of the family's 1533-position model. The record is from RNAcentral.